AGAGAAGAAGGAGGAAGAGAAGAGGGGGGAGUUGAAGAGUUUCAACAUCCUCUGGUAGGACCCCCAGUAAGUAAACCAAGGCACCACCUGUCUGAGUAAUAAGGGAGCGAAGCACUCCAAGUUGGAAACACCUCCGUCUUUUCUCUCCCCACCAUGGACCUCUUCUUGCUCCUGUGCUGUGUGGCCUUUCGUCUCUUGGGAACAGGCUCCGUGGAUGCUGGCAUUACCCAGACCCCAAGGAAUGGGAUUAUAGAGACAGGAAAGAGCAUUGUACUGGAGUGUUCUCAGACUAUGGAUCAUGCCUAUAUGUACUGGUAUCGACAAGACCCAGAACUGGGGUUACAGCUGGUCUACUUAUCCUACGAUGCUACCUAUUAAGGCAAGACCAGCUUUCAAAGUAAAAGCAAAGACCGAAUGUUGUUCAAUUUUAAUGAUCACCCUUGUCUAAAGGAAGGCUUUCACG
Molecule: non-coding RNA, 463 nt
Organism: Prionailurus viverrinus (fishing cat)
Lineage: Eukaryota; Metazoa; Chordata; Mammalia; Carnivora; Felidae
Source: the annotation of a RefSeq genome assembly